GCCCCCGGGCGGACAUGAAGUGGCGAACGGGUGAGUAACACGUGACCGACCUGCCCCCCGCCCAGGGACAGCCCCCAAAGGGGAUUAAUACCUGGUACUCCGGGAGCGGCGCAUGCCGCAUCCGGGAAAGCUCUCGCGGCGGGGGAUGGGGUCGCGGCCCAUCAGGUAGACGGCGGGGCAGAGGCCCACCGUGCCGACGACGGGUAGCCGGGUUGAGAGACCGACCGGCCACAUUGGGACUGAGAUACGGCCCAGACUCCUACGGGAGGCAGCAUG
Molecule: ribosomal RNA, 276 nt
Filed under: uncultured bacterium
Lineage: Bacteria
Description: partial 16S ribosomal RNA
Rfam family: Bacterial small subunit ribosomal RNA
Source: RNAcentral